This is a non-coding RNA of Ictidomys tridecemlineatus (thirteen-lined ground squirrel), 584 nucleotides long. NCBI's taxonomy places the organism in Eukaryota, Metazoa, Chordata, Mammalia, Rodentia, Sciuridae. The record is from RefSeq and is a predicted model, not a curated record.
UCAGAGGCACUGAGGAAGCAGAGGUAAAAAGUUGGUUCCCAAACGAGAAGGGAAUCCUUUGAAAAAGCCAACUUUAAGUCCCCUGCUAUGACUCUUCAGGGAGAUUACAGAAUCAACACCCAGAUUGAAUGGACUUUCAGAAAUAUAAAGCCAUAAUUAUUUCCUCAGUUAUGAAGAUAUUUACUCUUUAGGCAAGAGGGGAACUCACAUGUGUCUUCCCCUUGAGCCGCCUUCUAUCAGUUCCCAGGCAAAGUAAAGCAGGGAUUGGCUACAGAAGGUGAUUUCUUCACCUGACCUAGGUAUUAGAGAUGGCCACGAAGGCGGAAAGUAAACCCCGGGAUGUCAGUCCUGCGUCAGCUUCCAAUACAAGGUGACACACGAGCCUUGGAAAACACCUUGAACGUUAAUCUUCUCCAACUAUGCUGUGGAUUUACCUCAAGAUGCCCCUGGACAAAUUAUGAAAUAGAAGGUUCACUUUCAGGAAUUCCAUCUCUUCUUGGGAUAUUUCUUGUCCUUGAAAUGAAACUGCAGGGGAUAUUCACAAAUAUAUUUACACAAUAAAUUUGAAGCUCAAAGGAACUUUU